This is a non-coding RNA of Pelobates cultripes (western spadefoot toad), 278 nucleotides long. Lineage: Eukaryota; Metazoa; Chordata; Amphibia; Anura; Pelobatidae. The record is from the annotation of a GenBank genome assembly.
CACGGAAAGGAUUGACAGAUUGAUAGCUCUUUCUCGAUUCUGUGGGUGGUGGUGCAUGGCCGUUCUUAGUUGGUGGAGCGAUUUGUCUGGUUAAUUCCGAUAACGAACAAGACUCCUCCAUGCUAACUAGUUACGCGACCCCCGGCUUAAUCUAGUUUAUUCUGUUUUUGUUUUUCCUUUGUCUCUUACAGUAUGGUUUAGUGACACUGAGCGUGUUUCUAGCUCUGGUCACCUUAUUUAGUGAUAGAUGGGCUGUUUAUCGGGUUUAGGCAUUUAGA